Antechinus flavipes (yellow-footed antechinus) is the source of this 1420-nucleotide long non-coding RNA. RefSeq lists it as uncharacterized. The transcript is spliced from 5 exons. Lineage: Eukaryota; Metazoa; Chordata; Mammalia; Dasyuromorphia; Dasyuridae. The record is from RefSeq and is a predicted model, not a curated record.
AGAGAGAGACAGAGAAAUGGGAGGAGGAGGGAAGAAGAGGGGGAAGAAAGAGAAAGAUGAAGGGAGGAAGGAAGAAAGUAUUUUUUUAUGAGUGCCUGUAAUUUAAUCAGGGAGGGAACCACGGUUUCAAAAGCAACAUCCCUUGUACCAAAAUGAACAUGUCCGCAUCUGUUCUCUAACAGUCUUAGCGAGUUGCCUUUACCACUAAGAGAUUAAGUUCCCUGGGGUCACAUUGCUGGCACAGAGAGCAUCAUCAUGGGGUUCGAGAGUCCUAGCUUCUCACUCUCUGGCUGACUCUGGGUGAGUCCCUCCACCUGAGUCUGAGUUUUCCACUUGCAAAAUGUGGAUAAUCACAUGCAUGUUCUUCUCUAACUCAAAGGCUUGUUUGUGAUGAACCAGAGAAAAAGCAGGCGGGCCUACUAAGUGGCCCAGCUGUGGGCUCUUUAGCACCUGAUUAGUCAAGCCUUUCCUUCAGUCUUUGAAAUAAGGGCAGUAAGUAAAGGUGCUUAAGUUGGCAGGGUUUGAGAAAGUUUAAGCAGUCAAGAGUUCAAGGUGGAGGCCAUUUGCUUGCUUACUAAGGCCUUCCUUUUGAACUUCCUACCAAAAUUUAAAAAAAAAAAAAAUCUGUUCAUUAAGAAAAAGGAACUGAAAAGUUAUUUCCAGAAGUGUUCACAUCUCUGCCCAAGGAAAGCUCAUCCAGAUAAUUCAUCUCCGUGAAAGCCAAGGAUUCAAGCCAUUUGGGAAACGAGGGAGUACUUUGCUGUCAAAAUACACCUUCAGGAUUGAUUCAGAGGUGCUUCUUCCAUGAAGCCUUUCAUGAUUUGACUCUCAGCUGAAAGAUUCAGCAAUGACACUCAGAACACUGCAGGAGUUGGAAAGUUGUCAUCCUUCCUUGGCAUUCCAAGCAGGAGCAUCUCCUGUGGUCAAAAGCAUUAAUAUCCUUUACAGAGACCUGACCAGGGAGGUGUUCAAGAGAAGGGUCACCAUGAGUCAGAGAAUAAUGAAGCUAGGAUUCUCUUCUCCCUCCGGCACAACUUCUCCUAUACUCCUUGUUCCCCCACCACCUCCUCCAUCUCCUAUCGAGGGCUAUGGAAACCCUAGUAGGCUUCUGAAAGGUCCCGAAAUCUCUGAUACUUGACUGAAGUAACUCACACUGAGUUUUGUCUCGUGCGUCUCCAAGGGAACAAGCAACUUCAGAUACAUCUCUGUUUUGCACCCAUUUUCCACUGUGAGUGAGAGUUUUGUUCCCUUGACCUCAAUUGUUAUUCUUUGGCGGAGGUGUUUUUAAAAAUUCUUUUUAAACCAAAGUUUUGACAUGUAGUAAAUAUAGUUUUUGGGGUCUUUGAUGUUAUAUUGUAGAAUACUUGUUGUCUUUUGUAAUUGGUGAAAGUAAUAAAACCUUGAAAGUGUGAGACUUCAA